RNAcentral lists this ribosomal RNA (427 nucleotides) under uncultured bacterium. RNAcentral describes it as "bacterial SSU rRNA". It matches the Rfam family "Bacterial small subunit ribosomal RNA", at positions 355 to 775 of the family's 1533-position model. The record is from RNAcentral.
UGGGGAAUCUUGCGCAAUGGGCGAAAGCCUGACGCAGCGACGCCGUGUGCGGGAAGAAGGCCUUCGGGUUGUAAACCGCUUUCAGGAGGGACGAAGCCACUCGGGUUAAUAGCCCAGAGGGUGACGGUACCUCCAGAAGAAGCCCCGGCUAACUACGUGCCAGCAGCCGCGGUAAUACGUAGGGGGCUAGCGUUGUCCGGAUUUAUUGGGCGUAAAGAGCGUGUAGGCGGCCAGGUAGGUCCGGUGUGAAAACUCGAGGCUUAACCUCGAGAUGUCAUCGGAAACCAUCUGGCUAGAGUCCGGAAGAGGAGAGUGGAAUUCCUGGUGUAGCGGUGAAAUGCGCAGAUAUCAGGAAGAACACCUAUGGCGAAAGCAGCUCUCUGGGACGGUACUGACGCUGAGACGCGAAAGCGUGGGGAGCGAACAG